Molecule: microRNA precursor, 54 nt
Filed under: anatid alphaherpesvirus 1
Lineage: Duplodnaviria; Heunggongvirae; Peploviricota; Herviviricetes; Herpesvirales; Orthoherpesviridae
Description: Anatid alphaherpesvirus 1 microRNA dev-mir-D2 precursor
Gene: dev-mir-D2
Source: miRBase by way of RNAcentral
UCAGAACUACGUCGUUUAUUGCCGUGAUGGCCAUAAGGCGAUCCGUGGUUUCGG